RNAcentral lists this ribosomal RNA (253 nucleotides) under uncultured bacterium. RNAcentral describes it as "partial 16S ribosomal RNA". It matches the Rfam family "Bacterial small subunit ribosomal RNA", at positions 524 to 776 of the family's 1533-position model. The record is from RNAcentral.
UACGGGGGGGGCAAGCGUUGUUCGGAAUUACUGGGCGUAAAGGGCUCGUAGGUGGCCAACUAAGUCGGACGUGAAAUCCCUCAGCUUAACUGGGGAACUGCGUCCGAUACUGGAUGGCCUGAGUUUGGGAGAGGGAUGCGGAAUUCCAGGUGUAGCAGUGAAAUGCGUAGAUAUCUGGAGGAACACCGGUGGCGAAGGCGGCAUCCUGGACCAACACUGACACUGAUGAGCGAAAGCCAGGGGAGCAAACGGG